GAACGAGAAAGUGGAGCAAUCCAUGAGUAAAGUGGCGACCGGGUGAGUAACACGUGACUAACCUGCCUUCGAGUGGGGGAUAACCUCGGGAAACCGGGGCUAAUACCGCAUAAUGCCGAGAGGUUAAAGGAGCAAUUCGCUGAAGGAGGGGGUCGCGGCUGAUUAGCUAGUUGGUGAGGUAACGGCCCACCAAGGCAAUGAUCAGUAGCCGGCCUGAGAGGGCGCACGGCCACACUGGAACUGAAACACGGUCCAGACUCCUACGGGAGGCAGCAGUGGGGAAUUUUGCGCAAUGGGGGAAACCCUGACGCAGCAACGCCGCGUGGAGGAUGAAGUCCCUUGGGAUGUAAACUCCUUUCGAUCGGGACGAUUAUGACGGUACCGGAAGAAGAAGCACCGGCUAACUCUGUG
RNAcentral lists this ribosomal RNA (411 nucleotides) under uncultured bacterium. RNAcentral describes it as "bacterial SSU rRNA". It matches the Rfam family "Bacterial small subunit ribosomal RNA", at positions 64 to 507 of the family's 1533-position model. The record is from RNAcentral.